Molecule: ribosomal RNA, 1208 nt
Filed under: metagenome
Description: bacterial SSU rRNA
Rfam family: Bacterial small subunit ribosomal RNA
Source: RNAcentral
AGUUGGUGAGGUAACGGCUCACCAAGGCGAUGACGGGUACGGGGCCUGAGAGGGUGUUCCCGCACACUGGGACUGAGACACUGCCCAGACUCCUACGGGAGGCUGCAGUCGAGAAUCUUUGGCAAUGGGCGCAAGCCUGACCAAGCGACGCCGCGUGGAGGAUGAAGGCCUUCGGGUUGUAAACUCCCGUUGGGGGGCAGGAUGGGAGAGAGUGCUAAUAUCAUUCUCUUCUGACUUCAACCCCUGAGGAAGCCUCGGCUAACUCCGUGCCAGCAGCCGCGGUAAGACGGAGGUGGCAAGCGUUGUUCGGAAUCACUGGGCUUAAAGGGCACGUAGGCGGCUGGGUAUGUCCGGUGUGAAAUCCCACGGCUCAACCGUGGAACUGCGUCGGAAACUACCCGGCUCGAGGGCAGGAGAGGAGAGUGGAACUCCUGGUGUAGCGGUGAAAUGCGUAGAUAUCAGGAGGAACGCCGGAGGCGAAAGCGACUCUCUGGACUGUCCCUGACGCUGUGGUGCGAAAGCCAGGGGAGCGAACGGGAUUAGAUACCCCGGUAGUCCUGGCUGUAAACGAUGGGCACUGAGUGGGGGGGGUUCCGAUGCCACCCCUGCUGAAGCAAAAGUGUUAAGUGCCCCGCCUGGGAACUACGGCCGCAAGGCUAAAACUCAAGGUAAUUGACGGGGGCUCACACAAGCGGUGGAGCAUGUUGUUUAAUUCGAGGCAACGCGAAGAACCUUACCUGGGCUUGACAUGCACGGAUUAACCCGGUGAAAGCCGGGCCACACCCGCAAGGGUGGAACGUGCACAGGUGUUGCAUGGCUGUCGUCAGCUCGUGCCGUGAGGUGUUGGGUUAAGUCCCCUAACGAGCGAAACCCUUGCCCCUAGUUGCCACCAGUUCGGCUGGGCACUCUAGGGGGACUGCCGCCGUCAAGGCGGAGGAAGGUGGGGAUGACGUCAAGUCAUCAUGGCCCCUAUGUCCAGGGCGACUAACGUGCUACAAUGGCCGGUACAGAGGGACGCAAGGCCGCAAGGCGGAGCAAAUCCCACAAAGCCGGUCCCAGUUCGGAUUGGGGGCUGCAAUUCGCCCCCAUGAAGCCGGAAUCGCUAGUAACCGCAGAUCAGCCAUGCUGCGGUGAAUAUGUUCCUGAGCCUUGUACACACCGCCCGUCAAGCCACCCGAGUGGGGGGCGCCCGAAGUCGCGAAUCUAAC